Molecule: ribosomal RNA, 495 nt
Filed under: uncultured bacterium
Lineage: Bacteria
Description: partial 16S ribosomal RNA
Rfam family: Bacterial small subunit ribosomal RNA
Source: RNAcentral
AUGCACGCUGGCGGCGUGCCUAAUCCCUGCAAGUCGAGCGAACAGACGAGGAGCUUGCUCCUCUGACGUUAGCGGCGGACGGGUGAGUAACACGUGGAUAACCUACCUAUAAGACUGGGAUAACUUCGGGAAACCGGAGCUAAUACCGGAUAAUAUAUUGAACCGCAUGGUUCAAUAGUGAAAGACGGUUUUGCUGUCACUUAUAGAUGGAUCCGCGCCGCAUUAGCUAGUUGGUAAGGUAACGGCUUACCAAGGCAACGAUGCGUAGCCGACCUGAGAGGGUGAUCGGCCACACUGGAACUGAGACACGGUCCAGACUCCUACGGGAGGCAGCAGUAGGGAAUCUGCCGCAAUGGGCGAAAGCUUGACGGAGCAACGCCGCGUGAGUGAUGAAGGUCUUCGGAUCGUAAAACUCUGUUAUUAGGGAAGAACAAAUGUGUAAGUAACUAUGCACGUCUUGACGGUACCUAAUCAGAAAGCCACGGCUAACUACGU